This 38478-nucleotide long non-coding RNA is filed under the name Lactuca sativa (garden lettuce). RNAcentral's name for it is "long non-coding RNA (LSAT_LNC004947)". Lineage: Eukaryota; Viridiplantae; Streptophyta; Magnoliopsida; Asterales; Asteraceae. The record is from RNAcentral.
AAAGUUGAUCUUCAGCAAAUCGGGUCCGGGAAAACGGACGGCGGAAGAUCGGUCGAUAGGAGACGAUGAAGGUGUUGAGUUCUUUGAGAAUGUAAUAAUAAAUGCAUCAACAGUUUCUAGUCAUGUUGCAUUUGAGCUCAUGGAACCUACAAAUUCUCUAAUGGAGAAGCUAUCGGUUGACUUUGUAAAAGUCUCUCCGUAUAGACCAUCGGGUUUUUACGUUUUCUGCACUAGCCAUUCUCAACAGUUUCGGGUGGAAAACCCGAACGCUGUUCUACAGUUACUGUUUUAUUUCUUACAGUUAACCGACGAAAGUCAAAAUCUGGUUGAUUUUUCGUCGAAAAGUUUCAAUGAAAGUUUUAGUUAUGAAGAACAAGUGAAGAACGUGUUACAGCUGGAAAACUUGAUCGACCUGAAAGACCUCAACGACCACUUGUUGACUCCUAAUGGUACUGCAGAUGAUGCGGUUCGUACAAGUAACGAAGCUCUAUUUCAACUGGUGAGUGCCUACGAUUACAUCAACAUCGUCUUCAUUCUUUUAUAAUAGACUUGAUGAUAAAUUAAAAUUGUUUUUUUUUGUGUGUGUGUGUGUUGUUACAGAGUGCACGUGCAAGAUGCUGUUUAAUAGCUGCUGAAGAGGCGGAGAAUAGGAAGAAAGAAAACGAGAAGAUGAUCGAUAAGUCGAUGAAAAAAUACGCAACACCGGAAGAGAAGAAUAAGAAAAGAAAUCGAACUGAGCUUAAGUUCAUCGAGGAUAUUCUGGAUGAACUCCGUGAGUACAAAAAAAAUCACACUGAUUACUACGAAGCCUUCAAGCUUCAAAAGGAGCACGACGUGGACUUCUUGGUUAACGUAGACAGGCUGAAGCUGGCUAAAAUAUUUGACGAAAUUGUGGAGAUGGUGAUGCGCGAUGAUCUUCCUGAUGAAUUUGAAGGUCGGGAGGAGUGGGUGAAGGUAGGGACGGAGUUCAGGCGACUGUUUGAGCCUUUAGAUAUUGGGAAUUAUUAUCGCCACUCAAAAGGAGAUGAUAACAAUAAAGUUUAUUUGGAUGUUAGACCAAAAAGGUACAAGUUUACACAGCGCUGGUAUGAACAUGCAAAUGGGAUGGGGUUUGAGUUGGUUUCAGAGACUAAUUUUGUUGCGCUACUUGAAGAAAUUAAGAAGGAGGUGGAGGAGACUAAGAAGAAGCCGAUUGAUAUGGUUAAAGAGGAAUUCCAGAAUCUGGAGAAACAAGUUCAAAACUGGAUUUCUGACCACAAAAUACGAAAAGAUGAUGAUGAUGUAUUUUGGGGAGAAUCUUUUUUCUCUGUGUUGCGGGGAAAACUCGGAUAAACACCACACUUACACCCACACCCAUGAAAAAGGAAGAAAAUGUACAUAAUCUUAACCUUUCCAUAUGAUUACUUAAUAAGGGUAACUGGGUGAGUGCAAUAUGUGAGUGAGUAUCAAUGUCUUUGAUAUUUUAUGAAUAGUAUCCUUACUAUAAUUGAUUUACGCUUUUUAAGUUAUACUUUUACAUGAGUUUGAGCUUUUUUUUAAAGAUUUUUUUUAUGAUAAUAAUAUUUGAUACCUUUUGUGAUGGAAUCUUUAAAAGGAUGUAGCAUUUCUUUGGAACUGAUAUUUAAAUACCAUUACGAUAUUUUUGGUAGAUAACUACAUUAUUGUUUUAUAUUUAUUAAUUGUUUACAAGUUUGAUUUACCUCUUUGUUUAUUAAAAUACUAGGUAGGUGGGACUUGCUUUAUUUUGACUUCUUUAUUUCAUAAGACUAGCCAACCAGCAUACCUAGGAGUUGAGGAUAAAGGGUUUUUGAUCUCACAGGAUAUAUAUACAAAAAAUAUAUUUAAUACUAUAACUACAAACAAAAAAUUCUACAUAAUAUUUGAUGCAACUAUGGACCGGAAAUAUUAAUGGUUUUAAAAUUUUCAUAAAUUUUGGUUUGAAUAUUAGCCUUUUUAUAAUGUAAUCCGGUACUAUUUUUAUUUAAAGGGAGUAUUAAUGGUUUUAAGAUUUUAAAAAUAUUAUAAAGACAUUGUAGAUUAUGCUUGUAUAUUUGCAAAAUAAUCAAUAUGUGUUUGACAUUUUGACUAUUGGAACCUUGGGCAUUUUAGUGCACUUUUUGAAGAGAAGAGUGGAGUAUCAAAGCAAGGAUCGAGAAGACACUGUUGGAUCUGGUGUUAUUUCAUCUAGAGCUUCUGUUGAAGGUACAAAGUCUCUACCUUGCUCAUUAGUUUGAUUAGAUCUCAUUUUAUGGAGUUUUAGGGCUUAUUCUAUCUUUCCUUGAGGCUUUGAGUGUGUUGAACUUAUCAAGUGUUUGAGACUUUAGAUCUGGACCUUGUGAGGUCCCUAGAGUCCAAAGGUCCCAGCUUUAUCCAGCUAAUAGAUGAGCUUUCAUGAUUAAGACCCUAAAUGGAAGUUGUUUUGGCAUUUCAAGCCCUAAGUGUCAUGCAUGGAUGUAAAGCUUGCAGCUUUACAUGGUAUAUCAGCCUUGGGAGGCUAGAUCUAGAGUUUAGGGUUAUGAAUCUGCCUUAAAACGUAUGAAUGAGAAAAGAGACUUAAGGGACUCACCAAGUUGAUGAGCCAACUCGACGAGUCGGCUAGGGUUUUCCUCGAUUAGUCUGGACAUGAGUAACUCGGCAAGUUGAUGAGACAACUCAACAAGUUAAGUUGGGUUUUCGCGACUUUUCUGAAGGAACGAGGGGACUCGACGAGUCGGGUCAACAUGGACUGUUGACUCGAGUGUUGACUUCAAUUGAAUUUAGGGUUUGGUCAAGACAGGGAGUAUGGAGACCAUGGAGCGGUAAAAUGGUCUUUUACCCAUUCCAAGAGUUAGAGAGAGAGAGAGAGAGAGAGAGAGAGAGAGAGAGAGAGAAUAGCCUUUGGUUUAUUUAGAGUUGUGAAUGGAGUGUUAAUUAGAAAUAGUUAUCACAUGUGUUAGGCGGAGGCUAGAUCGGUGAUUCGUGUAUGAGGUUUAUUUGCUUGAUUACGAGGUCAGUCUUCUCAAUAUAGUUACCUAGAGUGGUAACCUUUGUGUGACCGGAGGGUCUUAUGUGCUUAUAUUGAGCAUUGUGAUAUAUUGCAUUAUGUCUUUGCUAUUUAUAUUGUGUAUUAUUCUGAGAUUACUAAGUUAGGACCGGAGGGUCCACCCUAGUUGUGGGACCGGAGGGUUCCAUUGAAACACAUUGACCGGAGGGUCUUAUUUGAGUAUAUCCAUGAGAUGUGUGUGGUAUUUUGGGGAACUCACUAAGCUUCGUGCUUACCGUGUUAUGUGUUUCAGGUACUUCUCAGGAUCACGGGAAGGCGUCGACUUGAUUGUACACACGAGGCGGAGUCGUGUUUUAAGGAUCCUAGAUAGUGUUUAAACAAUUAUUGAACAUGUGUUUUGAUACAUUGUUAUUUUGGGGUUUGUGAACUAUGUUUAUGAGAAUUAUAUGAUUUUUAAAAUGUAAAAUUUGUUUGAAAAUUUAUGGUGUUACAAGUAGGUAUCAGAGCCUUGGUUUGAGGGAUUCGGAUAUACCUUUGGGUGUGUCUGGACUCAAACUAAGGAUUUGAGAAAAAUUUUCAAAAGAAAUGAUUUAUCUAAAAACGAGUAAGAUCUUUAAGAGAAAAACGAGUUGGAGCAGUGUGUACAAUUAGCCAGAGCCCGAAUGGUGAUUUCCUAAAAUACCCUUACUUAUUUGUGUUAUGAGAUAUUUAUAAGAUGUUAGGGAUGAAUGCUAGAGGAUAGGCUAAGUAUUUCAUAUUUGGGCUAGAGUUGCCUGAUUUGUGAUGCCUUAGCCUAGAAGUUGUUGCUAUCUGUUGUUUACCUUGAGUAUGUGCUGAGUAGGAGUAUCUAGCAAGAAUCACUUAGAAAGAGUUCUGAGUCGAGGGAUAAUCUAGGAGAGGUACAUAUAUGAGCAUAUGAGGGGUCUACUGAGAGAGUAGUCUGUUAUUCGUGAAAGAUAGAGUACGUGUGAAUUGGGAUCCUAGGAGGAGGACUUGGGGUGAUUACAGGUUGGUGUGGAAGGUAGUAUUGGGCCUGUACUACUGAAAACACCGAAUCUAUAAGUAACCCAAGUAAGAAUCCUUUGGGUACUAAGGCGCAUGUAGGAGCGGGAAAUCGAGUGUGAGUAUGCUCGAGCGAGUCUCUGAUGAUUUUUGUGUUGUGUUUCAGAGACAUCGUGGUAGGUAUACACCACAACCCCGGGGGCGGUAGUGCCAGUGACGAGGAGAUCUGUCGGAUCAUUCAUGAGGAGGUGGACGCAGCUAUUCGAGAGGCGAUACCGGAGAUGUUUGGGUCUAUUAGGACCACACUGAUUGAGACAUUUGAUGAGCAUUAUGCUGUUGUUACUGAGGUUGUUGCUGCUGCAGCCACCGUAGUUGUAGCCGCUGCUAGGUCACAGGGAGGUGACUCGUUGUUGUUCCGGGAGUUCAGCAACACGAAGCCCCCAGAGUUUGAUGGGACACAGGAUCCGAUUACUGCUAUGAGAUAGAUCUCCGACAUGGAGGGGUGUUUUUACGCGUGUUCAUUCCCCCGAGCACUUGAGAGUUCAGUUUGCACUGAACCAGCUUCGCUUGGGAGUGAAGGACUGGUGGAAGUUUGUGACAGCCAGUUUUACUCCUACAGAUCAUGUUGCAGUGACAUGGGAGAUUUACACAGUUGUUCUGAGAUGAGUAUGUUCCCCAGGUGGAGAAGGAACUGUUGGCCCUUGAGUUUCUGUCUCUUAAGCAGAAGACAGAAACUAUGACUGAGAUUUCGAGUAUGUUCCAUGAGGGGGCGCUGUUUUGCCUUGAGCACGUGUUUACUAAGCAUGCACAUGUGAGUCGUUAUCUGAGUAUACUAAGGAGGGAUAUACGGGAGUUCGUGGUGAACUCGUCUUACCGGACAUUGGCCGAGUCGCAGACCAAUCCCCGACAGAGGGAGAUUGAUCUAGAGUUACAGGCCAGGGGGAGGGGGAGUCCCAUGGGAGGGACCUGAGACCGAUACAAUCGCAAUCGAUGACAAAGCGGGCAAAGCCCGCUGAUACGAGAUUUGGGGGCCAGAAGGGACACACUUGUGGCAAGUGCGACAAGAGUCACGAGGGAUCUUGCCGGGCAGGGAUUUGCUACAAAUAUGGCAAAGAGGGGCACAUGGCGAAGGAUUUCCCCAAGGGGUUUGACGUUUACUUUCACUACAACCAGACCGGUCAUCAGAAGUCCGAGUGCCCUCAGCUCAUCCAGGGAUUAGCCUAAGGUUCCACUCCUGCUGCUUUACAUGCUAUUGAUAGUCGACCGGUGAAGGCCGAGGCUUUGAGGGCUCGUGGGAGAGCUUUUCAGCUGACAACAGAGGAGGUCCGCGUAGCACCUGAUGUCGUGGCUAGUACUUUUCUUUUGAGUUCUGUACCUGCCUUGGUGUUAUUUGACUCGGGUGCGAGUUGAUCCUUCGUGUCUUUAGCUUUUAUUCAUCACAUCAAAGUCCGACGUGAGGCGUUGAGUCGACCUCUGAGGGUUUCUAUAGCUGAAGAGCAUGCUUUCGCUACUGAUGUGUAUUCCGAGGAUGUGUGUUAGAGAUUUUGGUGCUGAGUUCCCAAUAGACCUGGUACCGAUCGCGUUGGGUGAUGUAUGUGUCAUAGUGGGCAUGGAUUGAUUAAGUCGGUUUGGAGCUAUGAUCGACUGUGAGCGUCAGAUGGUGACCAUACAAGAACCUAGUGGGGGAGUGCUCAAGGUGUAUGACGAGGGUACCAGAUCUGGAUCAGCCUUCUGCUCUGCUGCUAGGGCGAGACAGAGUCUACAGCAGGGUUGUAUGGGCCUUUUGGUGUACAUGAUGUGACAGCCGUCAAUUUUUGGUCAAUCUAAAGUCAAAUAAAGUCAACAAGUCAACCCGAUCAACUCAUCUAACCCUUGUGUAUUAGGGUUUACUUUAUGUUUUCUACUAUACAACUCGCUAUUUUAAUAAGAAGUUAUCACUUGGAAAGUUCGUAUGUUCAGAAUUCCUAAACCCUAAUCAAGGUAUGUAAUGAAACUACUUGGUAAAACAUUAUUUCGUACCCCUCGAGGGCGUAUAACAUUCAUAAGGAGGCUUAACGGGGUUUACAAAACUUGCAUUUUGAAGUUAAGCACUCGCAAAGGUCACAAACAAAGUCUCUCUCAAUCUCUCUCGCCCUAUCUCUCUUUAUCUCAAAUCUCUCCCAAAUCUCUCUCAUAACCUCCCUCAACUUUUUAUAAUCAUUUGGGGCAUCCCGACCCUUAGCGGAGCCAAAAACCGCGCAAAACAGGAAGUUUAUUGGUAAAACAGCUCUAUAGAAGCGAAACCUCUUAGAGGCGAAACCCUAAGAAGCCUCCUGGACCGAAACCCCGCUAAGACCGAAGCUCCUAGUAAGAACCGAACCUACUUGGACUGAACUGCUGAAGAACCGAAACCCUGGUGAGCCGCAACAGAUCCAAGACCGAACCCGAAACCUCCGCCUUCGCCUUCGCUUCCCUUCCCAUCUCGCAUGCGAAAUUUCUUGAUCAGCCACUUUCGGUUCUCACCAAUAAACCGAACUAACCUUCGGUUCUGAGCUGUUUGGACCGAACCCUCGGUCCUAAACUCGGAUUUUCGCAUCUUUUCUCGGUUUUCGAUCCUUUUAACGUUUUAAGCUUGUUUUUCAUGAUUUUAACGUUGGAUUUUCACCCAAACUCAUAUUUUGGCAUAUAAGACCCUAAAUAUUCAUAAUUUAAUCACAUUUUGGGGGAAAUCUUUGUCCAAGAAUAAAAUCUAAUGGGUGAUAUAUUGAGGUGGAGUGUUGACUUUUCCAUAAAGCAAAGACACAAGCUACCUCCCAUACCCACUCCAUGACAUCCUUAUGUCACUAUUCACACCAGCCUUAUCUACUCAUUGUACCCUUAUUCUUUUUCAACAAGCUACCUUCACUCUCACCCACUCAAGGAGUCAAUACAUCUCACAUCUCCUAAUUCUCUUUCACUUACACAUUAAGCUAAACACUUUUCUCUCUCCACCUCUCUCCAAGAUUUCGAGAUUCUCCGGGAGUUUUGAGCUUUUCACCCUCUUUUGGUAAGUAAAUUUCAUCCUUCACCUUAUUAUCCCACACUUCUUCACUCUAGUCAUGGAUUUCUCACACAAAUAUAGUCAUAUUAAUUUGCUAUUAGAUCUUCAAAUCUACAAGCAUCUCCCAAGUGUUAUUGACAUGGAAACCUCUUUUCUUCCACAUUCAUCUUAGGGAAUCACUCAAGGUGAGUUCUACCCCUACAUUUUCAUGUUUUCUUCAAGUUUUAGGGGAGGAAUACAAGUUAAAUCACCACAAUAUAACUUAAACCCAAUCAUCAGCUUUCAACAGGAAAGUCGAGUCUCAUUCACAGACGGUUUUUACCUUCUUAAAUUUUUUAUCUUUCAAAACUGUUUAAUCUGCAAGUAGUUCGGGUUAAUACCUUUAAAAUGACUACUUGGACAUCUCCAUACGAUUUGUCUACAAUUUAUGGCGAUUUUUACAAAACAACCUAUCAUUUCAUAAACCACUUCAGACCAGUUUGUGAAGUUGGACAUUUUUACACAAGUUAAAGGUCACCAAAAAUCAUGAUAAAAUUAUGAAUAAAAUAGACACAUUUUCUAAACCCUCAGAGUUUACGGAUCUAAAUUUCGACCUCUGAUGAUUUUUCUAUAAAUUUUCCAAUAGCAUUAACAGGAAAGUUAGAAACUAUAAAAUAGUUAACAACCCUAUUUACACCUUGUAACUUGCUGAGCAAGGUGUGUAGUAUUAUUUGAAUACAUGUUGCUGAUAGUACAUAUUAUUUACCAUAGUUUAAAUGUAUGAAUGCAAAGGAUUACUACCACUACAAAUAAUUAUAAUAAAUUAUAAUAAGUAUAGUUAAGUCUAUUAUACACCACAAACAAAUAUGCUAAACUAUAAUAGGUAUAGUUAGGUUGCAUAUACAAUACAAACAUUAUGAUAAACUAUAGUAGGUAUAGUUUAUGUUUCAUUUACAUUUCAAACUCAUUACAAAAAGGUUUUCAUAUAAACGGGGUAUGAAUACAAAGUACCGAGUUUUCAUACAAAAGUGGUACAAUACAAAGUACCGGGUUUCAUACAAAAGGGGUACAUUACAAAGUACCAGGUUUAUACAAAAGGGGUACAUUACAAAGUAUCGGGUUUCAUAAAAAAGGGGUACAUUACAAAUUACCGGGUUUUCGUAUAAACGGGGUAUGAAUACAAAGUAUUGGGUUUAUACAAAAGGGGUACAUUACAAAGUAGCGGGUUUUCAUAUAAAAGGUGUACGAAUACAAAGUACCGGGUUUAUACAAAAGGGGUACAUUACAAAGUACCUGGUUUUCAUACAAAAGGGGUACAUUACAAAGUACCGGGUUUUCAUAUAAACAGGGUACGAAUACAAAGUAUUGGGUUUAUACAAAAGGGGUACAUUACAAAGUACCUGGUUUUCAUACAAAAGGGGUACAUUACAAAGUACCGGGUUUUCAUAUAAACAGGGUACGAAUACAAAGUAUUGGGUUUAUACAAAAGGGGUACAUUACAAAGUACCUGGUUUUCAUACAAAAGGGGUACAUUACAAAGUACCGGGUUUUCAUAUAAACGGGGUACGAAUACAAAGUACCGGGUUUACACAAAAUGGCUUUUAUGAUAUUAAAACUACGUUUCAUUUAGAAUUGUUAGUUUUCAGCUAUAAUUGCUAAGUGUACAUGUUAGAGUUAUAUAUGGAUUUAGUCACAAUCGACUUAGAAUUAGUGGGCCCGCCUUACUUCCUGUUCCUUGUUUGGUUGUGGACCUAGGGUAGACCCAUUAUAUUCAAUGGUUUAUCUAACUUAAAUUUUAUAUAACUUAUAUACACUGGGUGGUUAUAGAAGGAAUCUACGAGUCUUUCUAGGGUACAUUAUUGCAUAACAUAGGAGCUUUCAUUUCACAUUUUAUAAAGAAAAUAUUGGAUUUUCUUGAACCAUACUCUAUCAAUUUUACAAGGAAAACGACUUCUUUCUCAAAUAAAACUCUUAUGAAAUCACCAACUUAAUUGUUGACACUUUUCAAAACUACUUGUGUUCUCAGGGAAUCAAUGAAACGGGAAAUCACAAGCUUUUGAGGAUGGAACAUUAAAUCGUCAAACAUUACACUUUAUCAUCAUAGUGUAAUUGAUAUUGAAACAUGUAAACUCAUACUACGGUGUAACUUUUUCAAUUAUAUUUAUGAUGGUUUAUUUACUUUGAGCACUAUUAUACUCGUUGUGAUACUAUACAUGAAGUCCUCCACCCCCGGGCAUUUCCGCCAUCCUUGGUUUGGGGGUGUGACAGAUUGGUAUCAGAGCAUUGUUUGUAGUGAACUAAGUAUAUCGAACCACAUAAGAUAUACAAAUAUAAAUACAAUGGGACAAAAACGCUCUGACCAAGAGUUAUACUUUUUGAAAUAUACUAGAACAGAACAGAAGUGGUGAUUGUUGAACGACACAAGUAGGCUUGAGGAUGUAUAGUCAGGUUUGGAAAUGACAUAGCCUGAUCAACUAUGUCUAUCCUAGAAGUGAUUAGUAUAUGCUCGAGAAUGGUUGUGGUGUUGCAACAAGUCUAAAAACUUACCAACUCUAUCUACAAAGAAACAUUGAGAACAUAAGACAAACAUUAACAUAUUAUACGAGUAUUUUGUGAUACUAUAACCAACUUAUGUGAAAAAUAAAGACCCCUAUUAGUAGCUAUAUAAUGACCGAGUGCAUACUCUAAGGUUAUAUAUAAUUGAAGAUAUUAUAGACUCAUACUCUAUGAAUAUUUCUCUACUUUCUGUUCCUUGUUUGGUUGUGGACUUAGAGUAGAGUCAUUUAUUCGAAGGUCUAUUCUAUCUCAAAUUAAGUCUAACUGGUAUGCACUAUGUGAUUAUAGAAGUGACUAAUGAGGUUCACCCCUAUAAGUAAUUAUAGGAUUAGACGUCUAUUAAUUAUCUCUUCUACCCUUAUUCUCGCACAAACAACAUGGCAGGAGCUCAACUACUAGGAGACCCUAUUCUUCCUAACCAGGAAAAUGGUGGUUGGAUCAGAGAGAAUUUAGAGGAUCCUGAAGAAAUAAUAGAGGAAGACCCCGACGAGACUUCUAUGGUCCGACACCUCGAUAAGCUGUAGAUUUACAGAGAUGGAGUUAUGAACAAGGUCAACACCCUCCUUAUGGCAUGGAUGAGGCUUCUACAACCUCAACAUAGGAGGAUUAGUAGACAGGGCUCUCCUUGUCAUGGUACACUGCAUCACUCACUAGAGGGUACAAACACGAGUAUCGGUCAGCUGAAUCAUGGAGGUUGGCGCUACCACCAAGAUCACCGCAAUUCACCUUCGUCACCUAGAUAGAGGCCAUGAACAGAUCAAAAACCACAAUCAAAGCCUUCAGAGGUAAGUGACUAUAACUCGAGCCGAUAUUAGAGAGUAUCGGGAAUGUCAAACAGCGUUAGAGAAAAUGCAUGAUAAAAGCAGAACAUCAAAUGACAAAAGCCAAGGCAGAGGUUAGGGCAAUGCAAACAUUCAUGUCUUCAUUCUAUGGCCCACAAAACAUCACCUGUCGCGAGUAGUGUGUACACUACUAACAUACCGAUACCGACUCAAACUAUUGGUGUGCAUUUAAACACUGCCCCGUCAUAUACAUAAACUCGACCCUUCAAAUUUAGGGACUACACUAUUCAAAGGGGUCGUUUCGCUUCUAAAUUUUUUCCUUACAUUAACAAAAUAUAGACCUAAUAUAAGGUCAGACUGUCCUGAACUCUAUGUACUAGAUUAUAUUAGUGAAAUUGGCAUGUAUUUGAUUUCUUUGAGAGUUUACCACAUAUUUCAUAACCUGGUAUUACAAACAAUUUGCUUAUAGUAACUCUAAGAUUACUUAAUAUAUACCUCAAGGUUAUGUGAAAUUAAGAGACGAUCGACUUAGAAAUGGUGAGUCUGCCUUGGGUCCUGUUCCUUAUUUGGUUGUGGACUUAGGGCAGACUCGUUAAGUUCUAAAACCUAUUAAACCUUAAUUACACACAAAUGGUAUACAUCGGGUGAUCUUAGGAGUGGAUCAGGCAUGAAACAAAUCACAAGAUUACAUUCGAGUCACUACUACUAAAUUCAUAAGUUUAUCUAUAUGGACUUUCAUUAUGGAUUGCUUACAAAAUACAUUUAAGUUGAGACUGCUAUUGGAGACUGACCGUCUAUUCGUCUUUACAAACUUAUGACAGAACUAUACCACCGAGGAAAAAUUUCAGACCUUCCGGCAGCACAGCACCACCACCUUCGCCACCACCUCCGCAGUUUGAUCCCACAAUGUUCCAAGCUGCUGUAACAGCAGUCGUGGCUUCCGCAAUGUCACAAAUUGGUACGAAUGGUACUGGUGGUGCUGGAUCUGGUGCCACAAACUCCAACCUUGAGGACAGUACGAGGUGUACGAAGGAAUGUUCAUACAAGGAUUUUACUGGUGGCAAACCCGAUUCUUUCAAUGGAAGCGGGGGCGUCAUCACACUUAUGCAAUGGUUCGAAAAGAUUGAAUAGGUCUUCGAAAUUUGUGCAUGCCCCAAAGCAAGCAAGGUUAAAUUUGCAGCUUGCACUUUCUCUGGUCGGGCCCUUACUUGGUGGAAUGGCCAUGUUAAGUCACUAACGCUUACAAUGGCUAACUCGAUAAGUUGGGAGGACUUAAAGGCGUUGAUGCUGAAAGAGUAUUGCCCAAGGGGCGAAAUGCAAAAUCUAUAUCAAGAACUAUGGAAUCUCAAGAUGGCAGGCUCUGACCUUUGCAACCUAUACCACUCGAUUCUAUGAUAUAGCACUCCUUUGUCCCCCUAUGGUCACCCCGGAAGACAAAAAGGUGGAAUGAUACAUCUGAGGAUUGUCUCACCAAAUUCAAGAUAGCGUGUUGGCAUCAAGACCAACUACCUUUGAUAGUGCCAAGGCGUUGGCACAACAACUCAUAGAUCAUAGUGUCAGUCAUGACACGAUGACAAUCACCCCUGAACAAACAAGGAGGGUGGGGACAAGAAAAGGAAGUUCUGGAACAAUAAGAAGAACCAACCGACCUAGGACUCCACUAAGAAGCAACAUAUCGUUGAUGUUCAUGCUACCACAACCCAUGCCACUCCAGCAACCAUAAAUCGAUAUGCUGGAACCCUUCCGAAAUGCAACAAGUGUAACUUCCAUCAUACUAGGGUUUGCUGGGAGAUGCAUUGCAAAAAUUGCAACAGGAAAGGGCACACUGUCCAUUUCUGUAGGGCACCAGCACAACCCAUCACCCAGGUCCCUGGUACUAGAGUAAGCCCAACCUGUUACGAUUGCGGCGAAACGGGGCACUUUAAAAGAGACUACCCAAGAGAAAGGGAUGCUAGUGAUGGUGGAAGGGUGCUUAUGAUCACUGCAGGAGAGACUUCCCCGGAACCGCCCGUAAAUAUCGGUACGUGUUUCUAACAACAACGUUUAGAUUUUAAAUUUUUACUAAAACUAGCAUCGAUUAAAGUAUAUCAACCAUAAAUCUUGAGAACACGACAAGCCCUAGUCGUAAACUGCCCCUCUCCCCCGAGAAGUCAUAUCGUUUAUAUAAAAACUCAGGAUUCUUACUGGUGAAUCUAUGAUGGCUAGUGUAAACAUCGUAGUCAUAUAUCACUAAGAUUCUAUAGACUUAGGAUGUGUAAUUCCACCUUAUUUCUUGUUCCUUGUUUGUUUUUGGGCUUAAGGCAGAGUCACUCAUUCGACUGCCCUUGCAAUCUUAAUGAUAUACGAAAAUAGUUUACACCCAACAAUUAUAAAAGAACUGGUGGGAGUCUUACUACGAAAUUUCAUCACUUUUUGUCAAAGUGCUCGUACUGCUAGUACUCACUAAUUACAUUAUAAAAUAUUCGUAGUAGUAAUACCAAGGAUAAAGCGGAGAGCAUAACAAUAUAUACAUAGAAUACACCAUCAUUCCAAAACAAUCACUCGUGGUUUUAAAUUGAAUUAACACCGGUUACAAUAAGAUGUCCAAAUGCCGUCAAUUAUCAUAAGAUGGCUUGGUCUAUCAUAUCAAUGUCAUGUAUUACGGAAAAUACCCCCAUCUUUUCCCCAAAUUCUUGAAGUCCCAGUUGAAACACUAAUUUUGGGACGAAACUCCUUCUAACGGGGGAUGAUGUGACAACCGUCAAUUUUUGGUCAAUCCAAAGUGAAAUAAAGUCAACAAGUCAAACCGGUCAACUCAUCUAACCCUUGUGUAUUGGGGUUUACUUUAUGUCUUCUACUGUACAACUCACUAUUUUAAUAAGAAGUUAUCACUUGGAAAGUUCGUAUGCUUACAAUUCCUAAACCCUAAUCAGGGUAAGUGAUGAAACUACUUGGUAAAACAUUAUUCUGUACCCCUCGGGGCCGUAUAACAUUCAUAACGAGGCUUAACGGGUUUUACAAAACUUGCAUUUCAAAGCUAAGCACUCGUAAAGGUCAUAAACAAAGUAUCUCUCAAUCUCUCUCGGUCAAUCUCUCUUUAUCUCAAAUCUCUCUCAUAACCUACCUCAACUUUUUAUAAUCAUUUGGGGCAUCCCAACCCUUAGCGGUGUAACAUCCUAAAUUUCGGGUAUGUUAGUUUGUAUUUCAAAUUUUGAGGAUUUAGGAGGGACUCGACGAGUCGAGAGUCUGACUCGCCGAGUCACGUUGAGUUGAUUACGGGUAUUUAAUGAGAGGACUCGACGAGUCCAAGUAUGGACUCGCCGAGUAGGUGCUAGGCAGAGAAAACCCUAAGUUUCGGGGUUGGAGCCUAUUUAAAGGAACUUAUGACCUUGGAUGCGCCUCAUAUCUCCUGUGAGAAACCCUAAACCUCCAUUGGAUCCCAGGGAGAGUUCUUAUGAUGAAAUCAUGUAUUUUGGUGUGAUUUUGCAAAGGAAGAGAAGGGAUUCAGCUAAAAGUACCAAAGGAGGACGUCAUUCUGAGACGUUCAAGUAAGGAUCUCCAUUAUGAGUUAGUAAUUCGACCCUUUCUUCUGUUUUGUGAAGAAUCCUUGAAUCUAGGGUUUUCUUUACCCUUUCUUGGAUAGUAUAUGAUGCACAUGAGGUCCCAAUGUGGAAUAAGUAUUAGAUCUGGACCCUAAGAGGUCCAGAGAGUCCCAAUCUUCUAGCUUUAUGCAGUUCCAUUGGAGUUAUGAAUCUAGGAUACCGUCUUUAGAGCUAUUUCACCAUAUAGAGCUAUAUGUGUGUUGCAUGUGUAUAAAGUCUUGAGUUUACGUGACUAUUGAGUGUUAGAAGGUCAAAUCUAUAUGUUGGGGAAACAAAUCUAACCUUGGAAGGUCAUUUGAGUGUGGCCAUGGAGGAAACUCGCCGAGUCCAUAAGAGGACUCAACGAGUCGAGUCGGUUUGCCCCACGAUUCGUGACCAGUGGUGACCCGUCGAGUGAAAGGUUAACUCGAUGAGUUGGGUGAUAACUUAGGAGGAUUCAGAGGACAAGCAUGGACUUGCCGAGUCACCUGAGUGCACUCGACGAGUCUGGUCAAAGUUUGACCGUUGACUUCAGUUGACCUUAGGGUUUUGGUCAUACUGAUUCAAGAGAGGUCAGGGAGGGGUAGAAUGGUCUUCUACCUAUUCUAUAGAUAUGAGGUCAAGAGAAAGUAUUAAUUAGAGAUGUUUUCCUUAUGUGUUAGGCGGAGGCUCGAUCGAGGUUAUCAAGCCAGAAGGUUUACUAGACAUCAUGAGAGGUGAGUCUUCUCACUAUACUUUACCUAGAGUGGUAACUAUGUGUGACCGAAAGGUCUUAUAUGUUAUGCGGAGUAUGUGAUAGGUAUUGCUAUGUGAUAUGUAUGUGUUAUGCUAUGUUAUGAGUACCAUGAUAUGGACUGGAAGGUCAACAGAGUAUGGACCGGAAGGUCAAGAUGAUGAGGAUCGGAAGGUCAUACGGGUAGGGCCGGAAGGUCUACCAGAGUUGGGACGGAAGUCCCCUAAGACACAUGGAUCGGAAGGUCCCAUAGAGUUAUGGNNNNNNNNNNNNNNNNNNNNNNNNGGAAGAUCCCAUAGGGUUAUGGCCUUGAGUUGUGUAUGUGUUGUAUGUGGUAUUUUGGGGAACUCACUAAGCAUUUAUGCUUAUAGUGUUAUGUGUUAUGUGUUUCACAUACUAGCGAUGAUCACGGGAAGGCGCCGACAUGAUCUGUACACACUGGAAAAAGAGUUAUUUUAUGAUAUUGGGAUAUGUUUUAUCAUGAUGGCAUUUGUUAAAUUUGAGAUUUUAUAAUAUUGAAUAAGAUUUAUGUUAUUUGAAAAAUGAAAAAUUGUUUUGAAAAUUCACGUUGUUACAAGUUGGUAUCAAAGCCUUGGUUUGAGGGAUUCGGAUGCACCUUUGGGCGUAUCUGAACUCAAACUGAGGAUUUGAUAAAGUUUUCAUACAAGAAAUAAUUUUUCUAAAAAGUAAAAGAAUUUGAGAAAGCAGAAAGAAGUAGUGUGUACGAUUAGUCAGCGCCCGAACAGUGAUUUCCCAAAAUAUCCUUACGUUAUGUGUUAUGAGAUACGAAAAGAUAUGCUAUGUAGGCAGGGGACAGAGUUCGUGACUGUGAUUACACAGAUGUUUCACGAGAAUGUGCAGUUUUACCCUGAGAAUGUGUCUUCUGAACAGGCACGCAUGAGUCGAUAUCUGAGCAUUCUGAGGAGAGAUAUUCGGGAGUUCGUGGCGAACUCGAUGUACCGGACAUUUGUCGAGCUCCAGGAAAAUGCUCGGAAGAAGGGAGAUUGAGCUGGGGACUCAGGCCAUGGAGGAGGCUGAACCUCAGGAGAGGUGAUGUCAUGGUUCGAUUACCAUGAUUGGUAGCAGACCGAGAGGUAAUGUCAUGGUUCGAUUACCAUGAUUGGUAGCAGACCGAGAGGUGAUGUCAUGGUUCGAGUACCAUGAUUGGUAGCAGACCGAGUGGUGAUGUCAUGGUUUGAGUACCAUGAUUGGUAGCAGACCAAGAGGUGAUGUCAUGGUUCGAGUACCAUGGUGGGUGGCAGAUCGAGAGGUGGUUUCAUGGUUCGGGUAUCAUGAUUCGUAGCAGAUAAUGCUUGUACCUUUUUCCGGAUUAUUCCGUCAUGAUGGAUUAGGUGGAGAUCAGAUGUGACAGGGUAUUAGGCCUAAGGGACAUGUUGAAUGAGUUUCAAAAGAAGCAUUCCUGAGAGGGAGGUUGAGAUAAAUUCAUGGAUUUUUAGUGAGAUGACAGAUGCAGUCGCAAGACUCAAGGAUGAAUAGAGAUGGUGCUUAUGAAGGAUUGCGGCCUGAGUUGGGCAAUCAGCCGAUAGUAGAGAUGUCGUUUUCUGUGACCCGAGUAGUGCUAUUUCUGAGGAAGGUAAGAGAUGUAAGAAGUGUUGAGAUUUUGGUUUCAGAGUUUGGGAGUAUAACCUGCGGGUUGACAUUGAUGGUGAUCUUCCACCAGAGUAUCAGGCAGUAUAUCUGCCAUGAGAUAAUCAUAUAACAUGAGCAGGACUAGGAUGCACGCUAUUUGAGUAUAGUAGGGCGUGCGUUAGUUGUAGCAUUAGAUGAACAAGAAGAGUGUAUCGGGACAGUGGCCCUUUUUGUUUAUGGUGGGUAUCAAGUGUGGGAGUGGAGUCCCUGUUUUUGUGAUGAUUCAUGUGAUGGAACGUUGGUUGAGAAGACGAGGAUGAGGAGUAUGAUGAUUCAUUAUUUCCGGACUGAGAGUUAGGGUUCUUAUAUUUAGGUACUUUUGAGAUUUGUCUGACUAGAAUAUUAACAACCUUUUGAGCAAUCGUUAGAGAUCCAUUAUUUGUUAGAUAAAUAAUGAAAUUCGUACUCAUUGAAUAGAAACAUCAUUCUCAUUCCAUAUCGUUGAUUGUGCUUGUUAACUGGGUGCUCGUUUUCAUUCCUUUUCAAUUAUUGAAAAAUAAGUCAUUUUAGUCAAGAGAAAAAGUGUCAAGUUAUAAUUUGUAUAAAUUUACAACUGCCGGUUAUGACACGCAUUUUCUAGUUUUAUGACAUAUAGAACAUUACUUAUGUUCUUGGAGGUUUUACGAUAGCAGCUUAUGACAUGCAAAUAUUUCUGUCAUAAAGGCUCUAUUUGUAUACUUUCUUGACGCAAACUUUUAUAUCGAAUAUUUAUAAAAUACUUCCUGAUAGUUUGCAAAUAGUCACAAGGUUUCAAUUUUCGAAAAUUACUAGAAAUGAUGUCCACUUAUCAAGGUCCCUUUUUAUAACUUUUAUCUCUAGACAUUAAAGCAUAGCUAAAGGGGUUAAGUUGGGCACACCCUAUAGUUGGGAGGCUCUUUUGUACACAAAGUAUCCUCUGUUCUUUAUGAAGUUGUGAAAUCUCACGUUCAUGAGUAUAUUACUAAAAUAAUAAUUUAAUAAUAAUUCACACACACGCAUACAAACAUACGUAUACAUGCAAUUAUUUAAGUAUUUAGGCAAGAUUUGACUUCUACUAUCCCCCAAAAACAUUAAAACAUUGAAAAAUGUGGGGUAUGAAGCUCACCUUGAGUUGGUUGAGGAGUUGUAUGGAGUUCUGGAGUGAAGAUCUCAAGCUUAAACUUUUGGUUGAGACGAGGAACUCCUCGGGGAAGAAUGUUAUCCUAAGGUUGAUUAUCACAUAUUAUUAUGAGUAAAAUAAUAUGGAUUUGUCUUGAAGAUUAUAUAAAAUCUUAGAUGAGUGGAGAACUUACUUUAAAAUCUCCAGGAAGAAGUUGAGAAAUCUUGCUUUCAGCAAGAUCCUUGAUUUUUGCUCUUGGGAGGAGUAGGUGAGAGUAUAGGAGAAAAGUGGGAGGAAAUGUGAAAAGCCCAAUCUUUCUACUGUCAUGCUUAAGAGUAUAAGAAAAGGGAGGAAUUUUUGGUGCAUGGGGAUUUGCUGGUCCAUGCAUGGAUAUUUGGUGGGUAAAGCAUGGGAUACUGUGAUUUGCAUGGGAAAUGAGAAUUUCAUCAAAUCACAAAGUCAACCUCUUUGUCCUUAUCUUGAUUUAGGAUAAGAUCUUCCUAAAUCCUAAACAUUUAGUUUUUAUGUAAAUAUGAUUAAAAUAAUUAAUUGUAGCAUAAAAUAGGGGUUUAAGGGGUUUAGGAUAGGAAAAAUACGAGUUUGGUGUGAUUUCCGGCGUCAAAAUGCCUUAAAAUGAUAAAAAGGUCCGAAAAUGACAAAAAUCCGGAGUGGAGGGUUGUUCCUGCAAGGGUCUGAUGGGUUUAGGAGAAGUUCCGGAGCCAUUCAGCAAGAUCCAGAGUCAUUUGGGUCAUUUCCGAAGCGGCUUCCUCAAAUCCGGAGUCAGAUGCGAAAUUGGUCGGAUCCGGGCCGAGGUACGAGGCUAGCUAGCUAGACUUCCGAAGCCAACUGAUAUGUCCGGAUGAGAAGCUUAUUCCGGAGUGAAGGAGGUUCCAAAGCAAGGAAGGUUCUGAAGGGUGUGGCUUCUCUUGGCUCCUUAGGAGGCAUUCCAGACUAAGAAGGUUGAGGACGAAGAGGGUUCCGGACCAAGAGGGUUUAGGAGCAAGAGGGUCCUUUUGGGGUUUCCUCUUCCGGUUUUGAGUUGUUUUCGACUGAGGAAGGUACUUAGAGAGAUUUGAGAUAUGUGGAGAGAUUUGGGAGAGAUUUCUCAUACUUGGAGAGAUUUCACAUACUUAGAGAGAUUUUGGAGAGAUUUUGCAUACUUGGAGAGAUUUGGGAGAGAUUUCGCAUACUUAGGGAGAUUUAGGAGAGAUUUCACAUACUUGGAGAGAUUUGGGAGAGAUUCACUAUAUUUGGAGAGAUUUUGCAUAAUUAGAGAGAUUUGGGAGAGAUUCACUAUACUUGGAGAGAUUUCGCAUACUUAGAGAUAUUUGGGAGAGAUUUCACAUACUUGGAGAGAUUUGCAUCCUAAAACUACAUGGCUGCUUAGGAACUCAUAUUGUACAUUUAGGUGUGUUAGCACAAGUCUCACAAUAGUCUUUGCUUACUUGAGGAUGAAAUUUCCUAGCCAAAAAGGCUAGUUGUGACACGAAGGGGGAGGAUUUCCGAUAGGGUCCUGAGCAACAGUCAACAUUUGAGACUCUUCCGCAGAGGUUAUGUGAGGCCCCGAUAUUGACCCUCCCAGAGGGGUUCAAGGAUUUUGUGGUAUUCUGUGAUGCAUUUAUGUAACAGCCCGGAUUCCCAGGUAUUAUUCAUUUAUUUUUGAUAAUUUGUGAGGAGACUCGGCGAUUUGGAGCCUAGACUCGCCGAGUAUGAUCGCGGAUUUGGACGCGGGUUCGCGUCUGGACUCGGCGAGUCCAAGGAAUGGACUCGGUGAGUCCGUGCUGUUUAAUGAAACCCUAAUUUCCCGGCCUUGAGCCCUAUUUAAAGGACCUUAAACCCCUUCAUUGCGACUACCUUCGACCUUGAGAGCACCAGAGCAGCUGAGAGUUCUUGUGAGUGAGAUAAGAGGCCAUUAUUCACCAUUUUUGUGUGUAUUUGCAAGAAAGGAAGAGGAAGGCCAACUAGGAGAGUUGGGGAGCUUGGAUCUUCUCCCAUUUCGGCAGAAGAGGCUACUUGAGGUAACAUUCAGAGCGUAUACUCGUGUUUUUCUUGAUAUGGUCAAAUCUAGGGUUUCUUCAUGCCUUGUUUGCCUUGUGUUUGGAGUAUGAGAGGUCCCAUGGGGAUAUGGUACCUAGAUCUGGACCUUAGAAGGUCCAGAGAGUCCCAAAUGCCAUGCUUUAUGCCUUUCCUUUUGAGUUGGAGACUUAGGUUACCAUUUUAGAGGUCAUUUCUUCAAAAGAAGCCUUGUAGGCGUUGCAUGGUAGCCAAGAUUGUGACUUUACGUGAUGAAUGUGAUUGGGAGGGCCAGAUCUAUGAGUUGUUGGAGCGGAUCUGACCUCAGUAGCGAUAUUGAGUUGAUGCAUGGCAUGGACUCGCCGAGUCCGAAGAACAGACUCGGCGAGUAGCAUGAAGAUUGUCCUUAACCACUCAGCGAGUGGUCUUGCCGAGUUAAGGGUUGACUCAGUGAGUCAGGGAGAGUUAGAGAGGGUUGACAGGUGGACUGAGUCGAGCUGGAACUCGCCAAGUUGUUCUUGAGACUCGGCGAGUUGAGUCGUGGUGGCCCCGCGAUUCAUGCCAGGUGGAACUCGUCGAGUCAGGGAAGUACUCGACGUGUCAAAAGAGGAUCCUAGGGAGUCAGUGAACACGUAUAGACUCGCCGAGUCGCUCUAGUGCACUCGCCGAGUCCGGUCAAAGUUGACCGUUGACCAGAGUUGACCAGUGUUGACUUGAUAGGGGUAGUCAACCUUAGUUGUGAAAGUGUUAAUUAGAGAUAUAUUGUGUUAUAGGAGGAUUAUAGCUCGGAGGAUCGAGCGCGAGUGAUUUCCGGGAUUUGCGAGUUAUCGAGAUACGCGAGGUGAGUCUUCUCACUAUACUUUACCUUGAGUAGGUAAUCAGAGUUAUGUGACAGAGUAUUUGUAUGCUAUAUGUAUGUUAUGUGUUGUACUGCAUUAUUUCUAUGUGAUUUAUGUUGUGCAUGUUUAUAGAGUUGGAACCGGAAGGUUCCCAGAGUUAGAACCAGUGGGUUCACAGAGUAGGGUCUACGGACCCACAGAGUUAUAGCCUCGAGUGGCUAAUAUGUGUUAUGUGUGGUAUUUUGGGGAACUCACUAAGCUUUGUGCUUACAGUGUUAGUGUUGUUUGUUUCAGGUACUAGUGAUGACCGUGGGAAGGCGCCGGCUUGAUCUGUACACACGCAUGGGAUUUUUAUGAUAUGUGAUCUUGGGAUUUUUGUAUGAUAUGGAUUGGAGUCUUAAAACAUUGAUGUUUUUAUGAAAAUUAAAUGAAAAUGUUUUUAUAUUAUGCGAAAAAUUAUUUUGAAAUUCACGGUGUUACAAGUUGGUAUCAGAGCCUUGGUUUGAGGGAUUCGAGUACACCUUCGGGCGUAUUUGAACUCAAACUGAGGAUUUGAGAAGUAUUUUCAAAAAGAGUAAAAGAUUUUUGGAAAAACGCAGAGCAGAGUUGUGUGUACGAUCAGUCCGCGCCCGAACGGUGAUUUCCCAAAAUACCCUCAUGUUAUGUGAUAUUAAUAUUGAUAUGAUGUAUUCUCAUGCUAGAGUAGGCUAGGUACUCCUAUUAGGACUAGAGUGGCCUGAUUUGUGAUGCCUUAGCCUAGGGAGAGGUGAGCUGCUAUGAGAUGCUUGAGAGUGAGUAGGUAGCAGCGAGGGGCUUAUGAGAGAUCUGUUAGAGAGUGGAUUGUGCAUGAUAGAGUACUUGGAAUUUGGGAUCCGAAGAGGAGGACUUGGGGUGUAUUCUGAUACGGUGCGGACAGUAGUAUUGGGCCCGUACUACUGAAAGCACCGGAGCGGUGUACAGCCCAAGUAAGAAUCUUUGGAAUACCAAGGAUCAAGGAGGAAUGAGUUGUCGAGUGUGAGUAUGCUCGAAUGGGUUCUAAUUUAUCGUAUGUUGUAUUUCAGAGGUAGAUCAUGGUGAGGACACGUUUGAUGCCUGAGAGCAGUGAUACCAGUGAUGAGGAGAUCCGCCGGAUCAUCCAUGAGGAGGUGGCUGCGGCCAUCAGGGCAGAGAUACCAGAGAUGUUCGGGUCUAUUAAGACCACGUUGAUUGAGACCUUCGACGAGCGUUAUGCCGCUCUUUCUGAGGCUGUUGUUGCAGCGGCCACCGCAGCUAUUGCUGCUGCGAGGCCGCAAGGUGGUGAUGUGUUGCUGUUCCGAGAGUUCAGCAACACAAAACCACCAGAGUUUGAUGGGACCCAGGACCCGGUGGCAGCUAUGAGGUGGAUUUCUGACAUAGAGGGGUGUUUCUUCACUUGCUCAUCUCCUGAGCAUUUGAAGGUUCGGUUCGCGCUGAACCAGCUUCGCUUGGGAGCGAAGGACUGGUGGAAGUUUGUGACGGCGCAUUUUACGCCUGCUGAGCUUGCGGCAGUGACCUGGGAGAGGUUCACUGCCAUGUUCCGAGAUGAGUACGUUCCCCAGGUGGAGAGGGAGCGUUUGGCCCAGGAGUUUCUGACCCUCAAGCAGGGUACUGAGUCUGUUACGGUGAUUACCAGGAUGUUCCAUGAGAGGGCGAUGUUCUGCCCUGAGCACGUGUCCACUGAGCAGGCACGUAUGAGCCGAUAUUUGAGUAUCUUGAGGCGAGACAUUCGGGAGUUCGCGGCGAACUCCUCGUACCGGACAUUUGCUGAGCUUCAGGCAAAUGCCCGGAAGAGGGAGAUUGAGCUAGAGACUCAGGCCAGGGAGGAGGCGGAGUCUCAGGGGAGGGAUCGGCGACCGGCACAGUCUCAGCCGGCAGCCAAGCGGGCCAAGCCCGCUGAUCCCAAACCAGGGAGCCAGAAGGGCCGCACUUGUGGGAAGUGUGGCAAGGGUCAUGAUGGAGUCUGUAGAGCGGGAUCUUGCUACAAGUGUGGCAAGGAGGGGCACAUGGCCAAGGACUGCCCCAAGGGGUUUGCGGUGUGUUUUCACUGCAACCAGACCGGACACCGGAAGGCAGAGUGUCCGCAGUUGCGAGGAUCAUCUCAGGGAGCACCUCAGGGAUCUGCCCCUGCCGCCAUCAGAGCUACAGAGAGUCGGCCAGUGAAGGCCGAGGCGCCGAGGGCACGAGGGAGAGCCUUUCAGCUGACCGCGGAGGAGGUCCGCGCAGCGCCCGAUGUCGUGGCUGGUAUGUAUUCUUUCAUGUAUUUAUUUUGAUGUUGAGAUAUUAUGCUUAUGUUAUGUUAUGCGUAGGUACUUUUCUUGUGAAUUCUGUACCUGCCUUGGUGUUAUUUGACUCGGGUGCGAGUCGGUCUUUUGUAUCUUUGGCUUUUAGUCAGCAUAUCAGUGUUAGUCGUGAGGCGUUGAGUCGGCCUCUGAGAGUUUCCAUAGCUGAUGAGAGGGUGAUAUAUGCCACGGAGGUUCUCCGAGGUUGCGUAGUCGAGAUUUUCGGUGUUGAGUUCCCGAUUGAUCUGGUUCCUAUUGCGAUGGGUGAUGUCUGUGUCAUUGUGGGCAUGGACUGGUUGAGCAGAUUCGGUGCGGUUAUCGACUGCGAGCGACAGCUGGUGACCAUACGAGACCCUAGUGGGGGAGUUAUUUCGGUGUACGGCAAGGGUACACGUUCAGGAUCAGCGUUUAGUUCGGCCGCUAGGGCGAGGCAGUGUAUACAGCAGGGCUGUAAGGGUUUUGUGGCGUAUGUGAUGGAUACGCGGGUGGAUUCCGAGAGGCCGAGGUCAGUUGAGGAGGUUCCGGUAGUGCGUGAGUUCCCGGAUGUAUUUCCCGAGGAGUUGCCGGGUGUGCCUCCUGUGAGGCAAGUGGAGUUCAGUAUCGAUUUGGUUCCGGGGGCCGCGCCUAUCGCUAAGGUGCCUUAUCGCCUUGCACCUCCAGAGAUGCAAGAGUUAUCCUCACAGCUUCAGGAGCUGCUGGGGAAGGGGUUUAUUCGGCCGAGCAGCUCGCCGUGGGGAGCGCCUAUCCUGUUCGUCAAGAAGAAGGAUGGUUCACACCGGAUGUGCAUUGAUUACCGGGAGUUGAACAAGCUGACGGUCAAGAACCGUUACCCGUUGCCGAGGAUCGACGAUUUAUUCGAUCAGUUGCAGGGAGCAUCUUGGUUUUCCAAGAUCGAUUUGAGGUCUGGAUAUCAUCAGGUGAGGGUGCGGGAUGAGGACGUCCAGAAGACAGCGUUUAGGACGCGUUAUGGGCAUUAUGAGUUUGUGGUGAUGCCUUUUGGGCUCACCAAUGCCCCGACGGUGUUCAUGGAUCUCAUGAACCGAGUGUGUAGGCCGAUGUUGGAUCGGUCGGUGAUUGUAUUUAUCGAUGACAUUCUGGUAUAUUCGAGAUCUAGAGAGCAGCAUGAGGAGCAUUUGAGAGAGGUUCUCGGAGUUCUGAGAUCGGAGAGGCUUUAUGCCAAAUUCUCCAAGUGUGAUUUCUGGUUGCGGGAGGUCUAGUUCUUAGGACAUCUUGUUAACCAGAAAGGGAUAUUGGUCGAACCGGCCAAGGUUGAAGCAGUGAUGAGUUGGGAGGUGCCGAGGUCACCCUCCGAGAUUAGGAGUUUCCUAGGGUUGGCAGGGUAUUAUCGGAGAUUUAUCAAGGAUUUCUCUAAGAUCGCAGUGCCACUCACCAGAUUGACCCGGAAGGGUGUUGCUUUUUCAUGGGGCCCCGAGCAGCAGGCCUCCUUUGAGACACUUCGCCAAAGGUUGUGCGAAGCCCCGGUGUUAGCUCUCCCGGAAGGGAUGGAGGACUUUGUGGUAUACUGUGAUGCAUCGAUUUUGGGGUUGGGAGCGGUGCUGAUGCAGAGAGGGCAUGUGAUAGCAUAUGCAUCGAGGCAGCUGAAGCCUCAUGAGACGAGAUAUCCCACCCAUGAUCUAGAAUUGGGGGCAGUGGUGUUCGCCCUCAAGAUUUGGCGUCACUACCUGUAUGGGGUUCGGUGUACGAUAUACACGGACCAUAAGAGUUUGAAGUAUUUGAUGGAUCAGCCCAACCUAAAUAUGCGACAGAGAAGGUGGUUGGAUGUGGUCAAGGAUUAUGAUUGUGAGAUCCUGUACCACCCAGGCAAGGCUAAUGUGGUAGCCGAUGCGUUGAGCCGCAGGGCGGAGAGCACUCCACUGCGGGAUGUAUGUUUGAGAUUGACCGUGAUAGCUCCGGUAUUGGACGCCAUUCGUGGGGCACAGGCCGAGGCUGUGCAACCUGAGAUGCAGAAGAGGGAACGGGUUGUUGGUUUGGUUUCAGAGUUCGUUACCGAUGGUCGGGGGCUUAUGACAUUUCAGGGGCGUAUCUGGGUACCGUUUGUGGGAGGAACGCGUACCAUUUUGAUGGAGGAGGCUCAUCGGUCGAAAUUUUCGAUCCAUCCGGGGGCCACUAAGAUGUAUUUGGAUCUGAGAAAGGAGUAUUGGUGGCCCUGUAUGAAGAGGGAUGUCGCGUGGUUUGUUGAGAGGUGCUUGACCUGCCGUAGGGUUAAGGCCGAGCACCAGAGGCCGCAUGGUAAGUUGCAGCCAUUGGAGGUUCCCGAAUGGAAGUGGGAACAGAUCACUAUGGAUUUCAUCACCAAAUUGCCAAGGACUGCCAGAGGAGUUGAUGCAAUUUGGGUGAUUGUGGACAGAUUGACGAAGAGCGCUCACUUCCUUGCUAUCAGCGAGAGUUCUUCAGCAGAGAAAUUGGCGGAGGUGUAUGUGAGGGAAGUGGUAUCUCGGCAUGGGGUGCCGAUCUCGAUUGUUUCAGACCGUGAUGUGCGCUUCACUUCCAGAUUCUGGAAGAAGUUUCAUGAGGAGUUGGGUACUAGACUGCAUUUUAGUACCGCAUAUCAUCCCCAGACAGACGGUCAGAGUGAGCGGACGAUUCAGACGCUCGAGGACAUGCUCCGGGCAUGUGUGUUGGAUUUCGGGGGUAGAUGGGAUGCAUAUUUUCCCUUGGCAGAGUUUUCCUACAACAGCAGCCAUCAUUCAAGCAUUGGUAUGCCACCCUUUGAGCUGUUGUAUGGGAGGAGGUGUCGGACCCCCAUUUGUUGGGGAGAGGUUGGUCAGCGGGUGAUGGGCAGUACAGAGAUCGUGCUUCAGACGACAGAGCAGAUUCAGCAGGUCAGACAGAGGUUGUUGACCGCUCAGAGCCGACAGAAGAGUUAUGCAGACAGACGNUUUUGCAGACAGACGUCGGUCCGAGCUUGAGUUUCAGGUCCGCGACCUUGUACUCCUGAAGGUCUCUCCUUGGAAAGGAGUGAUUCGAUUCAGGAAGAGGGGCAAGUUGGGACCCCGAUAUAUUGGGCCAUUUCGUGUGAUUGCAAGGGUAGGCCGGGUAGCCUAUCGUUUGGAGUUGCCAGCAGAGUUGGGGCAGAUCCACGACACUUUUCAUGUGUCGCAAUUGAGGAAGUGUAUAGCCGAUGAGUCGGCAGUGGUUCCAUUAGAGGAUAUUCAGGUGGAUGCGAGCCUGAAUUAUGCCGAGAGACCAGUGGCCAUCAGAGAUCGGAAAAUCAAGGUUCUGAGGAACAAGGAGGUACCCCUGGUGUUGGUCCAGUGGCAACACAGGAAGGGAUCAGAGAUGACCUGGGAGCCGGAGCGUGAGAUGCGUGAGCAGCAUCNAAGUUAUUUGCAGAGAGAGACUUUGAGGGCGAAGUCUAGUUCUAGUGGGGGAGAAUUGUAACAGCCUGGAUUCCCAAGUAUUAUUCAUUUAUUUUUGAUAAUUUGUGAGGAGACUCGGCGAGUUGGAGCCUAGACUCGUCGAGUAUGAUCGCGGAUUUGGACACGGGUUCGCGUCUGGACUCGGCGAGUCCAAGGAAUGGACUUGGCGAGUCCACACUGUUUAAUGAAACCCUAAUUUCCCAGCCUUGAGCCCUAUUUAAAGGACCUUGAACCCCUUCAUUGCGACUACCUUCGACCUUGAGAGCACCAGAGCAGCUGAGAGUUCUUGUGAGUGAGAUAAGAGGCCAUUAUUCACCAUUUUUGUGUGUAUUUCCAAGAAAGGAAGAGGAAGGCCAACUAGGAGAGUUGGGGAGCUUGGAUCUUCUCCCAUUUCGGCAGAAGAGGCUACUUGAGGUAACAUUCAGAGCGUAUACUCGUGUUUUUCUUGAUAUGGUCAAAUCUAGGGUUUCUUCAUGCCUUGUUUGCCUUGUGUUUGGAGUAUGAGAGGUCCCAUGGGGAUAUGGUACCUAGAUCUGGACCUUAGUAGGUCCAGAGAGUCCCAAAUGCCAUGCUUUAUGCCUUUCCUUUUGAGUUGGAGACUUAGGUUACCAUUUUAGAGGUCAUUUCUUCAAAAGAAGCCUUGUAGGCGUUGCAUGGUAGCCAAGAUUGUGACUUUACGUGAUGAAUGUGAUUGGGAGGGCCAGAUCUAUGAGUUGUUGGAGCGGAUCUGACCUCAGAAGCGAGAUUGAGUUGAUGCAUGGCAUGGACUCGCCGAGUCCGAAGAACAGACUCGGCGAGUAGCAUGAAGAUUGUCCUUAACCACUCAGCGAGUGGUCUUGCCGAGUUAAGGGUUGACUCAGUGAGUCAGGGAGAGUUAGAGAGGGUUGACAGAUGGACUGAGUCGAGCUGGAACUCGCCGAGUUGUUCUUGAGACUCGGCGAGUUGAGUCGUGGUGGCCCCGCGAUUCAUGCCAGGUGGAACUCGUCGAGUUGGGGGUGUACUCGACGUGUUAGGAGAGGAUCCUAGGGAGUCAGUGAACACGUAUAGACUCGCUGAGUCUCCCUAGUGCACUCGCCGAGUCCGGUCAAAGUUGAUCGUUGACUGUUGACCAAAGUUGACAAGUGUUGACUUGAGAGGGGUAGUCAACCUUAGUGGUAAAAGUGUUAAUUAGAGAUAUAUGAUGUUAUAGGAGGAUUAUAGCUCGGAGGAUCGAGCACGAGUGAUUUCCAGGAUUCGCGAGUUAUCGAGAUAUACGAGGUGAGUCUUCUCACUAUACUUUACCUUGAGUAGGUAACCAGAGUUAUGUGAUAGAGUAUUUGUAUGUUAUAUGUUAUGUGUUGUACUACAUUAUCUCUAUGUGAUUUAUGCUGUGCAUGUUUAUAGAGUUAGAACCGGAAGGUUCACAGAGUUAGAACCAGAGGGUUCACAGAGUAGGGUCCACAGACCCAUAGAGUUAUAGCCUCGAGUGGCUAAUAUGUGUUAUGUGUGGUAUUUUGGGGAACUCACUAAGCUUUGUGCUUACAGUGUUAGUGUUGUUUGUUUCAGGUACUAGUGAUGACCGUGGGAAGGCGUCGGCUUGAUCUGUACACACGCAUGGGAUUUUUAUGAUAUGUGAUCUUGGGAUUUUUGUAUGAUAUGGAUUGGAGUCUUAAAACAUUGAUGUUUUUAUGAAAAUUAAAUGAAAAUGUUUUUAUAUUAUGCGAAAAAUUAUUUUGAAAUUCACGGUGUUACAAUUUAUCACCAGUUUGGGGGUGAUCCUCCUGCAGAGUAGACGAGUGAUUACUUAUGCUUCGUGACACCUGAAGCCGCAUGAGACGUGAUAUCCUGCGCAUGACUGGGAGUUAGGGGCAGUGGUGUUUGCCCUCAAGAUUUGGAGACAUUACCUAUAUGGGGUCCGUUGUACUGUCUACACGGAUCACAAGAGUUUGAGAUACCGGAUGGACCAACCGAAAUAGAACAUGAGGUAACCCAUGUGGCUAGACAUGGUCAAGGAUUAUGACUACAAGAUCCUUUACCAUCCGGGUAAAGCGAAUAUGGUGGCAGAUGCUUUGAACUGCAAGUCGUCUGAAUCUUCAGUCAGGGAGAUGUGUAUGAGGAUAUGCAUGGAUUCUCCGCCUUUUAGAUUGAUCAGAGAGGCCCGGGUAGAGGGGGUUCAGAAAGAGAACUGGAAAUACGAAAGGAUCAAGGGUGAGAUUGACAGGUUUGUCACAAAUAGUCGAGGGUUGUUGACACGGCUUGGUCGAGUUUAGGUUCCAGUUUCUGGUGGGUCAGACAGAUUGUGUUAAAGGAGGCUCAUAAUUCUCGUUUUUCUAUACACCGGGAGCCACCAAGAUGUAACAGGAUUUGAGAUUGAGCUACUGGUGGCUAUGUAUGUAGAGAGAGAUAGCCUGGUAUGUCGAGAGAUGCUUGACCUGCAUGAUGGUCAAGGUUGAGCAUCAGAGGCCGCAUGGCAAGAUAAAGCCUCUGGAGGUUUCCAUGUAAGAAUGGGAGUAGAUCACCAUGGAUUUUAUCACCAAGUUGCCAAAGACGACAAAGGUUUUUGAUGCUAUAUGGGUCAUCGUGGAUCGGAUGACCAAGCAUGCCCACUUUUUGGCCAUCCGGGAGAGCUCUUCGGCCGAAAAGUUGGCCGAUUUUUAUGUCUGAGAGAUUGUCGCUCGCCAUGGCGUUCCAUUUUCCAUUGUUUCUGACCGAAUUAUUUGGUUCACCUCUUAUUUCUUGAAAAAGUUCCACGAGGAACUGGGCACGAGUUUACAUUUCAACAUCGCAUAUUAUCCGCAGACCGACGGCCAGAGUGAGCGGACGAUAUAGACGCUUGAGGAUAUGUUGCUGGCCUAUGUUAUUGAUUUUGGUGGGAGUUGGGAUUCCUACCUACCUCUUGUAGAGUUCUCCGAUAACAACAGUUGUGACUCUAGCAUUGGUGCUCCACCUUUCGAUCUCUUGUAUGGUCGGAGAUGUCAUACCCUGGUUUGUUGGGGAGAGGUUGGUCACAAGGUUAUGGGAAGGACCGAAGUAGUCCUUCAAACAAUGGAGCUUAUUCAACAGAUCAUGCAAAGACUGUAGACUGCUCAAAGUCGGCAGAAGAGCUACCCCGACACGUGCCGAUCUGACUUAGAUUUUUAGGUCGGUGAUAUGGUACUCCUGAAGGUCUCACCCUGGAAGGGUGUGAUACGCUUCAGGAAGAAAAGGAAAUUGGUUCCCCGGUAUAUUGGACCUUUUCGGGUGAUUGUUAGGGUUGGUAAGGUGGGUUACAUAUUGGAUCUACCUGAGGACCUUCGUCAAGUUCACAACACCUUCCAUGUUUCGUAGUUGCGAAAGUGUGUAUUGGAUGAUGAGGCAGUGGUUUCCUUGGAUGAUAUUCUGGUCAAUGAGCGCCUGAACUAUAUAUAUAAUGACAUGAUAAGUAGGAGUAUGGUAUAAUGCUUCUAAUGUUAUGAUGUGUUGGAAUUCACUAAGCUUCAUGCUCACCCUUUCCUUUAUAAAUGACUAGUACAUGUACAUCAUGUACGAAUAAGAGUAAAGAAAAAGUUUGACUGUAUACUGACGCAGUUUGAAGAUUGGAUCCUUAUCACAGACACUUGAUAUGAGAUUUUAUCACUAUUAGUUUUUCCCCUGUUGAUUGGAUUACAAAUGAAUUAGUAUUGUUAAAUGUAUGCUUUAAAAUGUUAUUUUGAGUACUUAAAUUUAACAGUUUUGGUUAAUUAAUGGAUUUAAUGGUGAUUUUUAAUAAAUAUAAAUGAUUUAAAAAUUUUAAAUUUAUUUGAAAUUUUAGAACAUUACAUGUUGUCACAAUGCAUGGGUGUAGGCUGAGAGAUGUGAACACCCAUGUCUCCAAGAAGCCAACACAACCAAAUAAGGUCACAAGUGGUAGCAUGGUAUGUCGAGAGAUGCUUGACCUGCAUGAUGGUCAAGGUUGAGCAUCAGAGGCCACAUGGAAAGCUGCAGCCUCUGGAGGUUUCCAUGUAGAAAUGGGAGUAUAUCUCCAUGGAUUUUAUCACCAAGUUGCCGAAGACGACAAAGGUUUUUGAUGCUAUAUGGGUCAUUGUGGAUCGGAUGACCAAGCGUGCCCACUUUUUGGCCAUCCGGGAGAGCUCUUCGACCAAAAAGUUGGCCGAUGUUUAUGUUUGAGAGAUUGUCGCUCGCCAUGGGGUUCGAGUUUCCAUUUUUUCUGACCGAGUUGUUCGGUUCACCUCCCAUUUCUGGUAGAAGUUCCACGAGGUUACAUUUCAACAUCGCAUAUCAUCUGCAGACCGACGGCCAGAGUGAGCGGACGAUACAGACGCUUGAGGAUAUGUUGUUGGCCUAUGCUACUAAUUUUGGUGGGAGUUGGGAUUCCUACCUACUUCUUGCAGAGUUCUCCGAUAACAAUAGUUUUCACUCUAGCAUUAGUGCUCCACCUUUCGAUCUCUUGUAUAGUCGGAGAUGUCGUACCCUGGUUUGUUGGGGAGUGGUUGGUUACAAGGUUAUGGGAAGGACCAAAGUAGUCCUUCAGACCACGGAGCUUAUUCAACAGAUCAUGCAGAGACUGUAGACCGCUCAAAGUCGGCAGAAGAGCUACCCCGACAUGUGCCGAUCUGACUUAGAGUUUCAGGUCGGCGAUAUGGUUCUCCUGAAGGUCUCACCCUGGAAGGGUGUGAUACGCUUCAGGAAGAAUGGGAAAUUGGUUCCCUAGUAUAUUGGACCUUUUCGGGUGAUUGCUAGGGUUGGUAAGGUGGGUUACAUGUUGGAUCUACCCAAGGACCUCCGUCAAGUUCACAACACCUUCCAUGUUUCGCAGUUGCGAAAGUGCGUAUUGGAUGAUGAGGCAGUGGUUUCCUUGGAUGAUAUUUUGGUCGAUAAACGCAUGAACUAUAUAUAUAUAUAAUGACAUGAGAGAUGUGAACACCCAUGUCUCCAAGAAGCCAACGCAACCAAAUAAGGUCACAAGUGGUAGAAACCAUAGCUUUCUAUUCAGCCUUCGUUGAAGACCGAGACAACGUCAUGUUUGUUACUAUUCUAAGAAAUCAAACAAAUCUCCAAUAAAUAUACAAAAACUAGUGGUGGAUUUGCGAUCAUAAGUAUCACUACCUCGAUCAGCAUCACUAUAAGCACAUAACUUAAGAGAGGACAUGGAAAGAAACACAAGGUGGUGAAACUGAAUGCCCUGAAGAUAUGUCAAGAUACGAAGAACAACUCCCUGAUGAAUAGUAUAAGGAUCAGUAACAAACUGGCUAACCACAUCAACUAUAUGAGUUAUAUCUGACGGUGUGACUCACAAUGGUUUGAUCUGCACUAGGAUCUGAUAAGAGUACAUUAUCAGUUGGAGAGUGAAACACCCUUCGCUUGAAUAUUUAUAGAAUAGUAUUAAAAACAAGUUUUAAAUGUUUAAAAUCCAUGUGUCAAGUUGUAAAAUAAGUUGCGGAAUAUUAACGGUCCCAAAACAUUCAAGUUAAUAGUUUUUUAAAGGCAUAGUUCCAAUAGGUAUCAUCACAAAGAUUAAAGUUCCCUACAAGUCGGGGUCUUCUAAAUGUUCCUAACUUCUAAAGCCUCUAACAUCUUCAAUCUAAACAUACAUCAAAAUAAGUUACUGUCACAACCAGGAAUUUUGAUGCUUUGUAAACAUUGAACAAUGAUAACAUGGUAAUUAAAACUUGAAAGCAUGUAUGAUGCUUAUUCUAUGACAACAAAAUUCCAUCAAACACUCUAUACAAACGCUUCAAAUACUCAACAAAGAAUUGGAAACCCUAAAAGUCCCGGUUUAAGACCAUCAUGGACUAGGAUUUCCUUAUUGGGCCUAAUGGGCCAAUAAGCUUCCAAAUUGACUAUUUUGGGCUUAGAACUCUUAAAUGGACCCUAAUUGGACCCAUUUACAUGACACUUAAUAUUUUGGGCCUCAUAAGCCUAGAAUGGACUAGUUUAUCUUUAAUGGGCCUUAUUGGGCCAUAACAAAUCUAAUUAGCCCUAAUGGGCCAUAAAACUCAUACUUUGAUUUGUAUUGGGCUGUAAACCAUCUCCAAAGACCAAUUGGGCAGAAAAUCAUCAAAAUGGGCCCAUAAUAUGGACUUAAGCACAAAAGGCCCAAAUUCUAUUCUUUCUUCUCCCUUUCUCGACCCAAGAGGAUAAAAAAAUAGAAACUAGUGAAAUAAGGAGGGUUAGCCAACUCCUUAUUACAUAAUGGGCAUACAUGCAAUAACUUCCAUACUUCCAUGCACCAUUCUCAUGUUUCCAUGCAUCCAUCACAUCCAUAUCUCUCUCUUCCCUCUUCUUCUUCUUACCUUCGGCCGAGAGUAAACACACACACACACACAAAUAAUUCAUUCCAACUCUUUCCAAAUUCUCUCAAGAACACUUUCACUUCUCCUUCAAAAAUUUCGAGAUUAAGAGCUUUUCAAGGAGGUUAUUCCACAAAAAUCAUCAUCUUAGGUAAGUUGAUGCUUGGAUCCAUAAUCUGGACUCUUUGUUUUAUCAAAAAUCUCUUCUUAACUCAUAUAAACUCAUGAUCAUCAUCCUAGAAACCUCUAAGAUUGAAAUCAAUCCAAGAAAGCUUGCUAGGGCCGAAAAUAACAUCAAACUCUUCCAUCUCUUCUUCAAAUCGAAAUCAACAACCAAAGGUGAGUUCAUACCCCUCUAUUUUCGGUUUUUACAAGAUUUAUGGGGUAGAAUACAAGUAAGAUGUGUAGAUCUAUGUGUUUUUUAUGAUAUAUGUGAUUUCUUGAAUUUAUUUGAUAAAUAUGUGUGAAAAAUCAUGAUCUAGCCGAGAUCCUUAACCAUGACUAGGAAAUAUACGUUCAAUAACAUCUUAAAACAUGUUAUUAUCAAGAUCAAAGUACUAUACAAGUUCAAAAUAAGCAAAACAAAACACAAAUCCAAAUUAUGAACCAUUUUUGACAAAUAAGUAAAAGAUGGGAAAUAAAUGUCAUUUACGGUUUUAUAAGGGUCAAAAAGGUCAAAUCAGCUAAAAUAUGCUAUUAUAACAAUCUUGAUUUUUAAAAGGACUAAAAGUGUAAAUUUUAGCCUAAUGGGCUAAACCUUGGGCUUUUCGGCCUUUAGGCCCAAAUUUUUGAAAAAGGUGUUUUUCAAGGGGUUGAAAUGAUAAAAUUCUCAAAACAAGGGGAAAAAGAGUAAACAAAAUUAAUUCAGGGGAAUACAAUGAUAUUUUUUCCAAACAAUGAUCAAAAUGUAAAGGUUUUGGAUUUUUGGCCAAAAUUGUAAAAGUUGCACAAGUUUGGGCUUUAACCGAAAAACACUUUUCUGGAAGGGCUGAAACUGCCAAAGAAUAAGUUUUGAGCUAAAAAUAUCACUUGAACAAGUCUACGGGUCAAAAGUGUCAAGAAAAUGGUUUAAGGGCUUAAAAUGUCUUUUUUUUAUAAAGGACUAAAAUUGUCAUUUUUUUACUAAAGAAGGGCUGAGAGGGUUCAAACCAAUAUUUUUGAGUCAAUGAUUUUAUUUUUAAGAUAUUGAGUAAAAAACACCAAACUACAACUUACGAAAAAUAGAAACACGAAUAUACAUGAAAUUCUAAAUAUCGUUAUAAGUAACCGACCGGCCUCGUGUCGUUACGAAUCUAGAAAUCAAUAUUUCUGACAAUCAUGCAAUACCUAAAACAAUUAAAUAUUCAAAUCUUUGGGCUUGAAAGUUCCAAUCAUGCUUGUUGGGCCUUUGUGACCCAUUAACAUGACUUUUGGGCCCAAAAGAUAAUAAUAAAUGUUAUUAGGCCUUCUAUGACCCAAUUUCAUAUUUAAGGGACCCUCAAUGGCUUUUAAGUGCUAUUGGGCCUUAGUGGCCCAUUAGCAUUGCUAGUAAGGUCCAAGUAAAUCAAAUGCGAAAUGGGCCAACGUGCCCUUCGUAUACACAAUAGCCAUAAAUAAUACGUGAGAUUAGUAGGACUUUGUAAUCUUCUUCUCCUCGUUUAUUAGGAAUACCUUCAAUUCAGUAAACAUAUACAGGUCGUUAAUCAAUGGUAAUCAAAUUCAUGUUAGAUUUAGUGAGUAAUAGCGGGUGACACCUCGAUGGGCCGUCUGUAGUCUGUAGUUAUAAUUAAAGUUUCCUGGAGGGAGAGCGAGAGUUUGUGUAUAGAUCUAUACGGAGAUGACUCCCCCACACCUCAGUUGUUCGCUACAGUUAGACUCGGCCAGUCUAGGGUGACAAAUUCUUAAGAUCAAUUCCAGCAUUCGUUAGAAUGCCAAGACAGACGAACUAGUCAUUAUCAUGCGUGGGUAUAACGACUCACAUAAACAAAUCUAAUACUAUCCAAGUAAUUAAGGAAAAAUCAUAAUCAUUCGUUGUAACGGUAUAACAAUUUGAAACAAUUAUAUUUUCUGAUCGGAAAACAUCAGGUUUUUCGAGGAAAUCAACACCACUCAUUUGUACUUUUCGAAAACUAUAUGUCAAAACUUUUCAUUUAUACACUCUUUGAAAUCAUUCAUGCAUAAACAUAUGGAUCUUCACACUUUGCUAUAAACAAUUGUCUUUUUUCAGAAAAUAUCGGAUUUUCUGGGUUUUAUAAACUACACAAAACGUUUUCACAACAACCACGCUUAUAAACUCACCAACAUUCCAUAUGUUGACGUUUUUCAAAAUAACUUGUAUUCUUAGGUAACAGGUAAGCUGAGGAGUAAUACCGAGUACGUUAGGGUGUUAUGCUUUUGAAAACUAUCAAACAAUUUAUGUUAUGGAUAUGUAAUGUUUAAACAAUGUACUUGAUGUGAACAAUGUCAGUUGUAAUAUAUUGAUGCAUGGUGAUGUUUAUGUUCUGAUUCAUGUAUAUUCAUUGUGAUGAUAUUCAAUUUUAGUCAUGCGAGCCCUCGGACGUUUCUGCCAUUUGGUUCGGGGGUGUGACAGUUACACAAUGGAAUUUCUAAUGAGUUACCUGUGUUUGAUUUGUUUGAGUAAGAGAUAGCAAUCUAUAUACUCAAAUCAAACCUCCAAAAAUAGUUUUUUUUUUUUUUUUUUUUUUUUUUUUUUUUUUUUUUUUUUUUAAAUACAACUCCUGAUUUCAAAUCAAUAUGCAAUAAGAUCAUAUAUUUCAAAUAGUAAAACAUGGGUAUUAAAUCAAUAUAAGAUGUAAUGCAUGCUACUAACCCAACCCAUGCCAAUCUCAAUAAGUCCAAUCUUACAAAAAAAAAUGAUGGUGGACACUUGAGGGUACUCCCCUCAAGUUGCUAGAGAAUAUGGGACUCCCAUAUUUAUAAAUCUAUAGGAAAAGGGAACUCCCGUUUUCAUUGUUCGGUUAAGUGGGACUCCCACCAUCGAUAUAGGAACGAGGUAGCCAUAUCCCUAGUUCCACACAAGAGGUAUCUAGCCCUUAUGGGCAUGUGACGAUUAUCUAGAAAUCUACUCACAACAACUCAACACGCAGUGGAUCCAAAGGAUUUGACAACUCUAGUCACCCAUCCUAAUAUAUAUGCACAAUUGGAAUGCCAAAAUUGAUUUAUAAAAAUAUAAAGUCAUUUUACUUUUUAAACCAAUUCAUUUCCAAAUGUCAUUUCAUGAAUUUCAUGAAUGCACAUAUAGUUCACAUAGAAUUCACAGUAUAAAUAUAAUAUCAUAUAAUGAAAACUAUAAGAUUAUUUACUAAAAAUCCUAUAAGAACUAUAGUAGAUUACUAAAAAUAACCAAAAUAGCCAUAUAAGAUUUUUAUUAUUUAAACCUUCCCCAUAAGCUUAUUUACUUCCUAUUAUAAUAUAUAUACAGUUUGAGGGCAAUCGGAUGUCGUUUACUAGGUUUUCCUUGAAAAAAAAAUAAAUUUAAGAGAAUGCCUAACACGGCCUCGUGUCAUAUUACACUAUAGUGACACGCCCCAUGUCAUGCCUGACACGUCCCCAUGUCACUUAUGCCUAAUAUGACAUGAAUCGUGUCAACCCUGUUGUAAGACAUUGGAGAGCAUCAAAGAAUUCGAUGAUGCGAUGGCAAGAAGACGGGGGAGCAGGGGUUGUUGAGUCUUAAUACUUUUACAUUUGAAGGUGGCGGAGUUGGCGCCAGACUAGUACAGUGCCCCAUCGACCAUUUUUGAGAACUAGAGUAAGGAAAAAAAAGGUAGCCUAGAUACACAAAUAUACAAGCCUAGAAAUUUUAUCUCUUCCAUAUGGAUGGAUCGAACCUUCAUUGAUAUACUAACAUGUUUGAUUAAGCACCUUAAUACAACAUGAGACCCAUUCCGUAACUUGUAAUCCCCACGAGGCUUUGGGUUCGUUUUUCCUAAAUGAUGGCAUCGAAAAGUACAUAAUUGAAAUCAAGGCCCUUUCUUCUUUAAUUUUUUAUCGGACUCAAGAGUAAUCAAUUGGGUGGUUUCCUCGUGGCUUAAAGGCAGAAAUCAAAAAUUAUGUAUAGCCUCUAUCUAUCCAUCUGCAAACAAGCCGUUGAAUUAUCCCGUAACGUCAAAGCCUCCAUGGGGCUUUACAUCUGUAAGUUUUCCACCAAAUGUCGUUGUGACAAUUCCAAUAUGGGUUUCUUCAAUCCAAACUAGUUGGAGGCUGUGAUUGCAAUCACUUAGACUAAAAUCACAUUUGGGACUCUCACCCAAACCUACUCACCAGAAAAAACAAACUCUAAUGUUUGGAGCCCUGGUACUCGCCAUCUCUCAAAGCAAGAGUGGGAAGACCAUCAUGGGCGGGGUUUAUGUACACACUACAACAAAAGUGCAUCAAAGGCAGCUUACGUUGUGAGUUUUUAUCCUUAGAGUCUUAUGGUUUACCCAUUACUUAUGCCUAAUGCACUUACCCUUUCUAUCGGGUUAUCGACUUUUUCAAAGUCAACUUUGAAGAUCAUCGACUUCUUUUCUCUAGCUUGAUUAGUUUUAUACAAAAAAUGAAUUAUUCAUGUUAACAACAUACUUUUUGUAAUCAUAUUAACACACUAAAUGUUUAUAAAUGGUUAAAAAAAUAUUUGGAUUAUCCCAACUCAAAAAAUUGUCCGUUUUAAUAGGGGUUACUCAACUCGUAUAUUUUGCCGAUUAUAUAAAAUGGAAGACCUUGAUGUUACAAGUGUAACUAGCUAAAACUUUAAAGAUGGAUUUGAAACUUGUUCAUAUGCUAAAGCUUGAACAAGUAGGUCUUACUGGAAAAAAAAGCAUAAAAGGUCAAAUAUCAAAAGAACAUGAUACCUACGUAUACAUACCUCUUGGAAGAGUGGGAUCAUCUUACAGUUUACUAGUUUAUAUGUAUCACAUAAUAUUCAUAUACAAUUAUUAUAACCAAUAAAUAAUAUAUGAACGAAAACAAGUAACACACAUUUAGCACACGUUGAGGGUUUCAAGGAAUUUGAGUCCCAAUUUCCCAAACCAAGACAAAAUUGCAAGUCGUCUCCUAAAAAUCGUCGUUCGAAUGACCAUGAAACUUCAAGGAAGCCUACUGGCUACAAACAAGUGGACAAUAUCCACUUGUGAAAUGGCUUCACAAACUUUGCUAUCCUUCAAAAGGGUUCAUAUUGUAAUUUCAUACCAUCCUCACGUUCCAUGUAAUUUCUUCGUUCUAUUUUAUAAUAUUUCAUCCCCUAUAUAUUUAACUAAACACCAAUCAACAACUGGAAAAACAAUUAAAAUCAACUUACAAACUGUUCUUUAAGUGUGUGUUUUACAAAGAGAGAAAAUGGAGGUAGAGAAAGAAUCAGUGAAACUCAGCCUGAGCAAUGAGCUUACAAAAACAGCUCAAUCUCUAUCCAUGGAAGCCCACAAACAAAACAAACCUUUCAUCACAAACCUCAACAAGAAACCAUCAAUGGAGGUUGCUAUCUUCGCAUUUCCAGGAUCGUGGGAAGUCAGCAACUGGUACCAUGGUGAUCUUUUUGGAGAAACCGAGGUUGAUCGUAAACUCUUCAAGUCCCUGUGCCGGAUCGGAGAGAAUCGACCCGCCAAAGUCAACGCAGCAUUUCUUAAAAGAUUUCAAGAUCUUUUAAACGAUUCCACGUUCAAAUCCGAGGUAUAAAUCUAACAACUUUACUUUCAAGUUAUAAUUUUAGAUUUGAAAACGAAGAACAUUGACCGAAAGUCAAACUGUAAAAAUUUCAGAUAGAGAAAGCUGUGAACGCAAAAAAGAAGAUUUUAUUCACGGGGCAUUUGUAUGGUGGUGCGACAGCAAGUUUUGCCACACUUUGGAUGCUCGAUGAAUACAUAAAAAAACGCGGUAAAAAAUUCCCAAUCGGGUGCGUCACUUUCGGGUCACCUCUGAUUGGUGAUCGGACCCUGUCCCACGCAGUCCGGCGUGAGAAAUGGGCGGGUCAUUUUACCCAUUUUGUCAUGGAACACGACAUUGUUCCUCGCAUGAUGCUAUCUCCUAAGAUAUCAAUUCAACAACAACUACCUAGUAUUCUCAAAUUCUUCCAACAGAAAGUCAAACCCAAUGAUCAUAAGCGUAAAAAACCGAGUGCGAGACAACCAAUGGAUGAAGAUCAGUCGAUAGGAGACGCUGAAUGCGUUGAGUUCUUUGAGAAUGUAAUAAUAAAUGCAUCAACGGUUGCAAGCCAUGUUGCAUUUGAGCUAAUGGAACCUACAAAUUCUCUAAUGGAGAAGCUAUCGGUUGACUUUGUAAAAGUCUCUCCGUAUAGACCAUCGGGUUUUUACGUUUUCUGCACUAGCCAUUCUCAACAGUUUCGGGUGGAAAACCCGAACGCUGUUCUACAGUUACUGUUUUAUUUC